Molecule: ribosomal RNA, 301 nt
Filed under: uncultured bacterium
Lineage: Bacteria
Description: partial 16S ribosomal RNA
Rfam family: Bacterial small subunit ribosomal RNA
Source: RNAcentral
CAGCCGCCACGGGAAUACGAGGGGAGCUAGCGUUGUUCGGAAUUACUGGGCGUAAAGCGCGCGUAGGCGGCUUUUUAAGUCAGAGGUGAAAGCCCGGGGCUCAACCCCGGAAAUGCCUUUGAAACUGGAAAGCUAGAAUCUUGGAGAGGUCAGUGGAAUUCCGAGUGUAGAGGUGAAAUUCGUAGAUAUUCGGAAGAACACCAGUGGCGAAGGCGACUGACUGGACAAGUAUUGACGCUGAGGUGCGAAAGCGUGGGGAGCAAACAGGAUUAGAUACCCCGGUAGUCCCUGUCUCUUAUAC